GCGGGGGUAGCCAAGCCAGGUCAAAGGCGACGGACUCAAGAUCCGUUCCCGUAGGGGUUCAAGGGUUCGAAUCCCUUCCCCCGCACCA
RNAcentral lists this transfer RNA (88 nucleotides) under candidate division MSBL1 archaeon SCGC-AAA261F19. Its description in RNAcentral is "tRNA-Leu". It matches the Rfam family "tRNA". Rfam says of the family: Transfer RNA (tRNA) molecules are approximately 80 nucleotides in length. Their secondary structure includes four short double-helical elements and three loops (D, anti-codon, and T loops). Further hydrogen bonds mediate the characteristic L-shaped molecular structure. tRNAs have two regions of fundamental functional importance: the anti-codon, which is responsible for specific mRNA codon recognition, and the 3' end, to which the tRNAs corresponding amino acid is attached (by aminoacyl-tRNA synthetases). tRNAs cope with the degeneracy of the genetic code in two manners: having more than one tRNA (with a specific anti-codon) for a particular amino acid; and 'wobble' base-pairing, i.e. permitting non-standard base-pairing at the 3rd anti-codon position. Lineage: Archaea; Methanobacteriati; Methanobacteriota. The record is from RNAcentral.